GAUUCCGUAGUGUAGUGGUUAUCACGUGUGCUUAACACGCACAAGGUCCCCUGUUCGGCCUGGGCGGAAUUA
Molecule: transfer RNA, 72 nt
Filed under: Clytia hemisphaerica
Lineage: Eukaryota; Metazoa; Cnidaria; Hydrozoa; Leptothecata; Clytiidae
Description: tRNA-Val for anticodon AAC
Rfam family: tRNA
About the family: Transfer RNA (tRNA) molecules are approximately 80 nucleotides in length. Their secondary structure includes four short double-helical elements and three loops (D, anti-codon, and T loops).
Source: Rfam by way of RNAcentral